This 253-nucleotide ribosomal RNA is filed under the name uncultured bacterium. Its description in RNAcentral is "partial 16S ribosomal RNA". It matches the Rfam family "Bacterial small subunit ribosomal RNA", at positions 524 to 776 of the family's 1533-position model. The record is from RNAcentral.
UACGGGGGGGGCAAGCGUUGUUCGGAAUUACUGGGCGUAAAGGGCUCGUAGGCGGCCAACUAAGUCAGACGUGAAAUCCCUCGGCUUAACCGGGGAACUGCGUCUGAUACUGGAUGGCUGGAGGUUGGGAGAGGGAUGCGGAAUUCCAGGUGUAGCGGUGAAAUGCGUAGAUAUCGGGAGGAACACCAGUGGCGAAGGCGACUUCCUGGCCUGUUCUUGACGCUGAGGCGCGAAAGCUAGGGGAGCAAACGGG